UGAGGAAUAUUGGGCAAUGCCCGAAAGGGUGACCCAGCAACGCCGCGUGGAGGAUGAAGGUCGUAAGAUUGUAAACUCCUGUUAGAGGGGAAGAAUAACUAAGUUUGGAGCUUAGUAUGACUGUACCCUCAGAGAAAGCCCCGGCUAACUACGUGCCAGCAGCCGCGGUAAUACGUAGGGGGCAAGCGUUGUCCGGAUUUACUGGGUGUAAAGGGCGCGCAGGCGGAAUGGAAAGUCAGUGGUGAAAUCCUACAGCUUAACUGUAGAACUGCCUUUGAUACUUUCAUUCUUGAGUUCGGGAGAGAGAGACGGAAUUCCAGGUGUAGUGGUGAAAUACGUAGAUAUCUGGAAGAACACCAGUUGCGAAGGCGGUCUCUUGGUCCGAUACUGACGCUGAGGCGGGAAAGCGUGGGGAGCAAACA
RNAcentral lists this ribosomal RNA (422 nucleotides) under uncultured bacterium. RNAcentral's name for it is "bacterial SSU rRNA". It matches the Rfam family "Bacterial small subunit ribosomal RNA", at positions 355 to 774 of the family's 1533-position model. The record is from RNAcentral.